CAGCAGCCACGGUAAUACGGAGGGUGCAAGCGUUAAUCGGAAUUACUGGGCGUAAAGCGCACGCAGGCGGUCUGACAAGUCAGAUGUGAAAUCCCCGGGCUUAACCUGGGAACUGCAUUUGAAACUGUCAGGCUGGAGUCUUGUAGAGGGGGGUGGAAUUCCAGGUGUAGCGGUGAAAUGCGUAGAGAUCUGGAGGAAUACCGGUGGCGAAGGCGGCCCCCUGGACAAAGACUGACGCUCAGGUGCGAAAGCGUGGGGAGCAAACAGGAUUAGAUACCCCGGUAGUCCCUGUCUCUUAUAC
Molecule: ribosomal RNA, 301 nt
Filed under: uncultured bacterium
Lineage: Bacteria
Description: partial 16S ribosomal RNA
Rfam family: Bacterial small subunit ribosomal RNA
Source: RNAcentral